Molecule: long non-coding RNA, 1347 nt
Filed under: Anas platyrhynchos platyrhynchos (common mallard)
Lineage: Eukaryota; Metazoa; Chordata; Aves; Anseriformes; Anatidae
Description: lncRNA (ENSAPLG00000030607.1)
Source: RNAcentral
GGGACAGCCUGAAGACACUGAGAAAUAGCACCUGAGAAACUCUGCCUUCUGCAGGAGAAGGUCAAAGGGCUGAUUGUGGUCAGCCACAAUGCUGUCUGCUCUCAAUCAUGUCCCUCUGCCUGACGGGAAGCAAGACCAGACUGAAGGAUGUAUUUGAUCACCAAGAGUUAAUUAUUAAAGAGGGAAAGGAACAUUCAUUUCAAAAGCAGAUGGUUUUCAACGUUCACAGUAAGCUGGCAGCAAGGCAGUUUUCCUCCAGCUCUGUGGUCUUUUAUCAAUAUGCAGCUAAGUAUCAAGUGAAAAUAAAUAAUGGAAAGAACAUUGCAUUAAUUUUUUCCCCUCCAUGAGAGAAUAAUAUGGCCUUGUCUUACCAGUCACCAAAGGAAAGAAGACAAAGAGGUUAAAGUUUGGGGAUUCAUUUCUGGAUCUGCAUGCUUUACUGAUUUACAUGCCAUAGAGCGUCCACUCAUCAACUUACAGCUGUUUCUAUAAGGAAUAAUGUUAACUAGUAAACUAAAAAACAAAACAUUCACAUUGUGGUGGGUGGGGUGGGGGGGAGUAGCCAAGUGUUUAAUAAGUAUGCUACUCUUUGACUGCUGUAAGGGCUUAGGCUGAUAUAUUUUAAUGGGCAUCGGGUAAAACCAAAUUCAUUUCACUCUAUGUGAGUUUUGAGUCUUUCAGAGCUUCCACUUAAAAAUUCAUUAAGAAAUAACCACUCUAGGCAGAGCUCUGACCAGCUGGCAUGUUGGCUACCAACCCUUUUAGAAAGAGGAUUUAAGGGCUUUCAUAUGUUUGCAAACCAGUCACUCUUGGUAUGUAUGAACUGUCCUUCUCCUUCUAUCCCACCUUGUGUAUAAAAAUACCAGACUGUUAAUCCUAGAAAAUAUUUAGGCAUUUUGAACAGUUGCUUCUAAACUACUUUUACUGCAAAUAUUGCCUAAGCAAUUAAUACACCCAAUUUCUAAUGCAUUAUAUAGAAGUUAUCCACAGAAACCUCGUCCUGAAGAUAAUAGGAAGUGGGGAAAAUUAGACUUCGGAGAUGGUUAUAGAUGAGUAAGGUGAUGGGCCAUUCUUUCAUUCUCUUGAAAACAUUUAUCUAAGUUAAAGAUGUUAAAACUCUAGAAAUUCAUUUCUGAGUAACGUAACCUGCCAUGCACCAACUGAAAAUAUUUCUUCUAUAAGGCAGUAUUGCACUUAAGUGGAUAUUAAAGGUUCUUUGAAAUGUAGCAGCAUGGUUUGGUGUUACUAUAUGCUAUACUUUGAAUACUGAACACCUUCUGUAUGUAUAAAUAUGGAGAAAGUAUGAUGAUGGUACGUGGCAUGUCAAACUUAGUUUUCCAACUGAAA